Molecule: non-coding RNA, 1535 nt
Organism: Psychrobacter sp. PRwf-1
Lineage: Bacteria; Pseudomonadati; Pseudomonadota; Gammaproteobacteria; Moraxellales; Moraxellaceae
Source: Rfam
AAACUGAAGAGUUUGAUCAUGGCUCAGAUUGAACGCUGGCGGCAGGCUUAACACAUGCAAGUCGAGCGGAAACGAUGAUAGCUUGCUAUCAGGCGUCGAGCGGCGGACGGGUGAGUAAUACUUAGGAAUCUGCCCAGUAGUGGGGGAUAGCUCGGGGAAACUCGAAUUAAUACCGCAUACACCCUACGGGGAAAAGGGGGCGCUUGCGCUCUCGCUAUUGGAUGAGCCUAAGUCGGAUUAGCUAGUUGGUGGGGUAAAGGCCUACCAAGGCGACGAUCUGUAGCUGGUCUGAGAGGAUGAUCAGCCACACCGGGACUGAGACACGGCCCGGACUCCUACGGGAGGCAGCAGUGGGGAAUAUUGGACAAUGGGGGGAACCCUGAUCCAGCCAUGCCGCGUGUGUGAAGAAGGCCUUUUGGUUGUAAAGCACUUUAAGCAGUGAAGAAGACUCUAUGGUUAAUACCCAUAGACGAUGACAUUAGCUGCAGAAUAAGCACCGGCUAACUCUGUGCCAGCAGCCGCGGUAAUACAGAGGGUGCAAGCGUUAAUCGGAAUUACUGGGCGUAAAGCGAGCGUAGGUGGCUUAAUAAGUCAGAUGUGAAAUCCCCGGGCUUAACCUGGGAACUGCAUCUGAUACUGUUAGGCUAGAGUAGGUGAGAGGGAGGUAGAAUUUCAGGUGUAGCGGUGAAAUGCGUAGAGAUCUGAAGGAAUACCGAUGGCGAAGGCAGCCUCCUGGCAUCAUACUGACACUGAGGUUCGAAAGCGUGGGUAGCAAACAGGAUUAGAUACCCUGGUAGUCCACGCCGUAAACGAUGUCUACUAGUCGUUGGGGAACUUGAUUCCUUAGUGACGCAGCUAACGCAAUAAGUAGACCGCCUGGGGAGUACGGCCGCAAGGUUAAAACUCAAAUGAAUUGACGGGGGCCCGCACAAGCGGUGGAGCAUGUGGUUUAAUUCGAUGCAACGCGAAGAACCUUACCUGGUCUUGACAUAUCUAGAAUCCUGCAGAGAUGCGGGAGUGCCUUCGGGAAUUAGAAUACAGGUGCUGCAUGGCUGUCGUCAGCUCGUGUCGUGAGAUGUUGGGUUAAGUCCCGCAACGAGCGCAACCCUUUUCCUUAGUUACCAGCGGUUUGGCCGGGGACUCUAAGGAUACUGCCAGUGACAAACUGGAGGAAGGCGGGGACGACGUCAAGUCAUCAUGGCCCUUACGACCAGGGCUACACACGUGCUACAAUGGUAGGUACAGAGGGCUGCUACACAGCGAUGUGAUGCGAAUCUCAAAAAGCCUAUCGUAGUCCAGAUUGGAGUCUGCAACUCGACUCCAUGAAGUCGGAAUCGCUAGUAAUCGCGGAUCAGAAUGCCGCGGUGAAUACGUUCCCGGGCCUUGUACACACCGCCCGUCACACCAUGGGAGUUGAUUGCACCAGAAGUGGGUAGCCUAACUUUUAGAGGGCGCUCACCACGGUGUGGUCGAUGACUGGGGUGAAGUCGUAACAAGGUAGCCGUAGGGGAACCUGCGGCUGGAUCACCUCCUUA